RNAcentral lists this ribosomal RNA (743 nucleotides) under uncultured Methanosarcina sp. RNAcentral describes it as "bacterial SSU rRNA". It matches the Rfam family "Archaeal small subunit ribosomal RNA", at positions 85 to 826 of the family's 1478-position model. Lineage: Archaea; Methanobacteriati; Methanobacteriota; Methanomicrobia; Methanosarcinales; Methanosarcinaceae. The record is from RNAcentral.
ACGGCUCAGUAACACGUGGAUAACCUGCCCUUGGGUCCGGCAUAACCCCGGGAAACUGGGGAUAAUUCCGGAUACCGCAUAUGUGCUGGAAUGCUUUAUGCGUAAAAUGGAUUCGUCUGCCCAAGGAUGGGUCUGCGGCCUAUCAGGUAGUAGUGGGUGUAAUGUACCUACUAGCCGACAACGGGUACGGGUUGUGAGAGCAAGAGCCCGGAGAUGGAUUCUGAGACAUGAAUCCAGGCCCUACGGGGCGCAGCAGGCGCGAAAACUUUACAAUGCGGGAAACCGUGAUAAGGGGACACCGAGUGUCAGCGUCAUACGCUGGCUGUCCAGGUGUGUAAAAUACACCUGUUAGCAAGGGCCGGGCAAGACCGGUGCCAGCCGCCGCGGUAACACCGGCGGCCCGAGUGGUGAUCGUGAUUAUUGGGUCUAAAGGGUCCGUAGCCGGUUUGGUCAGUCCUCCGGGAAAUCUGAUAGCUCAACUAUUAGGCUAUCGGGGGAUACUACCAGACUUGGAACCGGGAGAGGUAAGAGGUACUACAGGGGUAGGAGUGAAAUCUUGUAAUCCCUGUGGGACCACCUGUGGCGAAGGCGUCUUACCAGAACGGGUUCGACGGUGAGGGACGAAAGCUGGGGGCACGAACCGGAUUAGAUACCCGGGUAGUCCCAGCCGUAAACGAUGCUCGCUAGGUGUCAGGCAUGGCGCGACCGUGUCUGGUGCCGCAGGGAAGCCGUGAAGCGAGCCA